Non-coding RNA from Gossypium raimondii (Peruvian cotton), 87 nucleotides. NCBI's taxonomy places the organism in Eukaryota, Viridiplantae, Streptophyta, Magnoliopsida, Malvales, Malvaceae. The record is from Rfam.
CCUGAGGAAGCGUUUUGCCUACGUGGACAGAAAUCGCUCUCUUAAAGGCGCGCUUUAUGUCCGAGUAGGCAAAACGCUUCCUCAGGG